Molecule: long non-coding RNA, 756 nt
Organism: Arachis duranensis
Lineage: Eukaryota; Viridiplantae; Streptophyta; Magnoliopsida; Fabales; Fabaceae
Exons: 3
Source: RefSeq, a predicted model, not a curated record
GAGAGCUCACUGCUGCCGCGCUGUGCAGAGCCGCCGCUGUUCGCUCUCCAGUUCGCCGUGCUUUGUCGAUGCCACGGCGCCGCCGCCAUCGUGCCACGCGUCGCCGUCGAAACUCGUCAUUUGCCAUUGCUAAUCGCGAAGAGAGUGACGGGAAGGCCUUGCGGGGAGGGUUCGCGAUGUGCCGCCGCCAGUGCUAGGGUCUGACGUCGCCGGUCACCGUCGUGAGCUUCCUUGCCAUUGCCACAGAAGCUGCCUUCGCCGGUGCCGUUGGAGGCGCGAAUGGAAGAGCGCCGUUGAGAGGGGAAACGUGAGCUGCGAGCCACGGGCUGAGGAGAAGCUCCACCCUCGUUGCCGCUAAAGGAGUUCUGUGCGUCGCCGCCAAGGGUUGCCGCAGGUGGGGAGAAGACGCCGCCGCCUCACGUCGCUGCCACCAUCUGAGCUCGCUGCUGCUAAUAAUGGUAAGCCUAAACCGCCGCCGGCAGAGGGAUUCAGGCCGCCGCAGGUGUUGCUACCGGAGAAGAGAGCUGUAUCUCCGUGAUUCCGACCGCCGGGAAAGGUUCUGUGACCUCUGGAAGCACCGUCGGAGCUCUGGACUCAGCUUUUGCCAAUCGAGACCCUGCUGCCGUCGCCGGAAAAGUUGGCCGUCUUCAUCGCCGGAGUCCGGUCGCCGCUGCUGCUUGAGGUGGCUGCCGGAUUACCGCCAAACCGGUUCGGUGAUCGCCGCUGUUCCGGUUCAGCCGUUCCUUCUUCGUUCGG